CUAUUGUUUAUGAUGUUUUUUGUGGUUUUUUUGAGGAAUUUUGAAAAUAAGACAAAGAAUUUUGAAAUUGGAAAAGGAACCAAAAAAAGUGUUUUUCGGGAUUCUCUAUAGAAGUUUGACAAUGGCUUGAAAUUUGAAGUUUGAAGAGCCCUAUGGAGAUCAAGACUUCGUUCACAUCUAAUCCUUUCCAUUGACAAACUAUAAUAUUUACUGAUACUAUUAAUAUGAAUGUCGGCUGCAAUCUCAAUAGACUUUCAGAUCUAGCCCAAAACAGGAGUUCAUUGACCAAAAAACAAUGGAAGAAAGUUUCUCCAAUUUGCUCCGAUUCUUCAUCACGUGGAUGGUGGACGCAGGACUCCCUCAAUCUCAAAAUAAAAAAGUUACGGGGAGCGUUCAAUAAGUUGUUAGAACAUCCAAGAGAUGGCGGUCAUGGUAUCAGAUGAACAUCGUUCGAGCCGUCAAGUAGAAGUGACUAUUCCCGAAGUGAUUGACGAAAUCCAGGAUAUCUGUCUUAAGUGAUUGGCGGAUCAAAACGCGUGAAAUAGUCGAGGGCACAGACGUUUCGUAGGGUGCAGUGUUUUCAAUUUUGCACAAAAAUUUGGGCAAGAUAGUUGCUGCGUUUGCACCCAGUAUAGAAUAUAUGCAAUCCUGUAUCCGAUUCUCAAGCUGCUUUGGCGACUUUCCAUAGCAAUUUUGAUGAGUUUCUGCUGCGAUACAUUACAGUCAGCGGUUCACAACGAAUGAAGAGGUCAUCGCCAAAAUAGAUGCUCUUUUGAGGAUCUUCCAAAACCUGGCAGUUGGAAGAUCCUCAAAGAAAGACACAGAGAUGUCCAAAAAUAAAAAAAAUCUCCUGCUUGGGCAUGAACUUGUUACGUGAUUUAUCGUCUCAAUACAACCCGUAUCCAAGUCGUAUUUGCGAAUCUAUAUAAAGGAGUAAGCUAGUAAUUUCUUCGGUCACGCUGGUCCCUGGUUAGAGGUCCGGCAUUUUCUGAUGAUUUGCCUCUACCCUGGAUGA
This is a long non-coding RNA of Hermetia illucens (black soldier fly), 1015 nucleotides long. RefSeq lists it as uncharacterized. The record is from RefSeq and is a predicted model, not a curated record. Lineage: Eukaryota; Metazoa; Arthropoda; Insecta; Diptera; Stratiomyidae. The transcript is spliced from 3 exons.